Molecule: long non-coding RNA, 643 nt
Organism: Lemur catta (Ring-tailed lemur)
Lineage: Eukaryota; Metazoa; Chordata; Mammalia; Primates; Lemuridae
Exons: 3
Source: RefSeq, a predicted model, not a curated record
AUGCAGGCAGCGUGCACGGAGCCUGGGAGCCUCGUGGCAGCCUGCUUUCCCCUGGGGCUGCUGGGGGGAUUAGGUAACACUCCAAGGCCCACAGAAUGUACGCAACUUGUCCAGGACCAAAGAGAAAGAAUAAGGACCUAGGCCUCCUUCCCACCUCCUCAACAUGGCCCUCCCCAGAUGCUGCACUGCUCAGUUCCACGUUGCACACAGAGCAAGCGGACUGGACAUAUUGGUUCAUUCACCAAGAAUGUACCGGGAACCUACCUAUCAUGCUAAGCCCUGGAUACAAGGCAAAUACUCAUCUGCUAAAAAACGUGACAUCCCUUCCUCCCCUCCAAAGGGAAAAGGAAAGACCAAAAGUCAAAAUGAACAGGCCACAGCAAGGGACUACUGCCUCUGACCAGCAGCCCGCGAGGACCCGAGGCAUGGCACCCGCGUGUGAGAGAAGCUGGCAGCAGAGCCUCCCUGCGUUUGGAAGCCUGGCCUGCACCUCAACUGCAGCUUUGUGAGAGACUCAGCCAAAAUAAGACACCAAGCCCCUCCUGGAACCCUGACCCACAGAAAUGAUGAGAUAACAAAUGCCUGGUUUUGAGAUACUAAUUUGGGGGAUAAUUUCUUAUUCAGCAAGAGAUAACUCAUAUAA